AUUGAACGCUGGCGGCAGGCCUAAUACAUGCAAGUCGAACGAGUGGCGGACGGGUGAGUAAUGUCUGGGAAACUGCCUGAUGGAGGGGGAUAACUACUGGAAACGGUAGCUAAUACUGCAUAACAUCAGAUGUGCCCAGAUGGGAUUAGCUGGUUGGUGGGGUAACGGCUCACCAAGGCGACGCUCCCUAGCUGGUCUGAGAGGAGGACCAGCCACACUGGGACUGAGACACGGUCCAGACUCCUACGGGAGGCAGCAGUGGGGAAUAUUGCACAAUGGGCGAAAGCCUGAUGCAGCAAUGCCGCGUGUAUGAAGAAGGCCAUCGGGUUGUAAAUUACUUUCAGCGGGGAGGCGUUACCCACAGAGGAAGCACCGGCUAACUCCGUGCCAGCAGCCGCGGUAAUUC
RNAcentral lists this ribosomal RNA (406 nucleotides) under uncultured bacterium. RNAcentral's name for it is "partial 16S ribosomal RNA". It matches the Rfam family "Bacterial small subunit ribosomal RNA", at positions 30 to 526 of the family's 1533-position model. The record is from RNAcentral.